This 391-nucleotide ribosomal RNA is filed under the name uncultured bacterium. RNAcentral's name for it is "bacterial SSU rRNA". It matches the Rfam family "Bacterial small subunit ribosomal RNA", at positions 28 to 420 of the family's 1533-position model. The record is from RNAcentral.
GACGAACGCUGGCGGCGUGCUUAACACAUGCAAGUCGAGCGGUAAGGCCCUUUCGGGGGUACACGAGCGGCGAACGGGUGAGUAACACGUGGGUGACCUGCCCUCAGCUCUGGGAUAAGCCUGGGAAACUGGGUCUAAUACUGGAUAUGACUCCACGGUGCAUGUCGUGGGGUGGAAAGCCUUGUGCGGCUGAGGAUGGGCCCGCGGCCUAUCAGCUUGUUGGUGGGGUGANGGCCUACCAAGGCGACGACGGGUAGCCGGCCUGAGAGGGCGACCGGCCACACUGGGACUGAGACACGGCCCAGACUCCUACGGGAGGCAGCAGUGGGGAAUCCUGCGCAAUGGGCGAAAGCCUGACGCAGCGACGCCGCGUGAGGGAUGACGGCCUCGG